UACUGAAGGGGCAAGCGUUGUUCGGAAUCAUUGGGCGUAAAGGGCGCGUAGGUGGUUCUGUAUGUCUACCGUGAAAGCGUACGGCUCAACCGUAUUUUGUCGGUGGAAACUGCAGGACUUGAGGCUGGGAGGGGCUGGUGGAAUUCCCUGUGUAGCGGUGAAAUGCGUAGAGAUGGGGGAGAACACUCGUGGCGAAGGCGGCCAGCUAGACCAGUUCUGACGCUGAGGCGCGACAGCGUGGGGAGCAAACAGG
This 253-nucleotide ribosomal RNA is filed under the name uncultured bacterium. RNAcentral describes it as "partial 16S ribosomal RNA". It matches the Rfam family "Bacterial small subunit ribosomal RNA", at positions 524 to 776 of the family's 1533-position model. The record is from RNAcentral.